RNAcentral lists this ribosomal RNA (1419 nucleotides) under Microbacterium sp. U8A. RNAcentral's name for it is "bacterial SSU rRNA". It matches the Rfam family "Bacterial small subunit ribosomal RNA". Lineage: Bacteria; Bacillati; Actinomycetota; Actinomycetes; Micrococcales; Microbacteriaceae. The record is from RNAcentral.
AGAGUUUGAUCCUGGCUCAGGAUGAACGCUGGCGGCGUGCUUAACACAUGCAAGUCGAACGGUGAAGCCCAGCUUGCUGGGUGGAUCAGUGGCGAACGGGUGAGUAACACGUGAGCAAUCUGCCCCUGACUCUGGGAUAAGCGCUGGAAACGGCGUCUAAUACUGGAUAUGAACCGUGGAGGCAUCUUCAACGGUUGGAAAGAUUUUUUGGUCAGGGAUGAGCUCGCGGCCUAUCAGCUUGUUGGUGAGGUAAUGACUCACCAAGGCGUCGACGGGUAGCCGGCCUGAGAGGGUGACCGGCCACACUGGGACUGAGACACGGCCCAGACUCCUACGGGAGGCAGCAGUGGGGAAUAUUGCACAAUGGGCGCAAGCCUGAUGCAGCAACGCCGCGUGAGGGAUGACGGCCUUCGGGUUGUAAACCUCUUUUAGCAGGGAAGAAGCGAAAGUGACGGUACCUGCAGAAAAAGCGCCGGCUAACUACGUGCCAGCAGCCGCGGUAAUACGUAGGGCGCAAGCGUUAUCCGGAAUUAUUGGGCGUAAAGAGCUCGUAGGCGGUUUGUCGCGUCUGCUGUGAAAUCCCGAGGCUCAACCUCGGGUCUGCAGUGGGUACGGGCAGACUAGAGUGCGGUAGGGGAGAUUGGAAUUCCUGGUGUAGCGGUGGAAUGCGCAGAUAUCAGGAGGAACACCGAUGGCGAAGGCAGAUCUCUGGGCCGUAACUGACGCUGAGGAGCGAAAGGGUGGGGAGCAAACAGGCUUAGAUACCCUGGUAGUCCACCCCGUAAACGUUGGGAACUAGUUGUGGGGUCCAUUCCACGGAUUCCGUGACGCAGCUAACGCAUUAAGUUCCCCGCCUGGGGAGUACGGCCGCAAGGCUAAAACUCAAAGGAAUUGACGGGGACCCGCACAAGCGGCGGAGCAUGCGGAUUAAUUCGAUGCAACGCGAAGAACCUUACCAAGGCUUGACAUAUACGAGAACGCUGCAAAAAUGUAGAACUCUUUGGACACUCGUAAACAGGUGGUGCAUGGUUGUCGUCAGCUCGUGUCGUGAGAUGUUGGGUUAAGUCCCGCAACGAGCGCAACCCUCGUUCUAUGUUGCCAGCACGUAAUGGUGGGAACUCAUGGGAUACUGCCGGGGUCAACUCGGAGGAAGGUGGGGAUGACGUCAAAUCAUCAUGCCCCUUAUGUCUUGGGCUUCACGCAUGCUACAAUGGGCGGUACAAAGGGCUGCAAUACCGUAAGGUGGAGCGAAUCCCAAAAAGCCGGUCCCAGUUCGGAUUGAGGUCUGCAACUCGACCUCAUGAAGUCGGAGUCGCUAGUAAUCGCAGAUCAGCAACGCUGCGGUGAAUACGUUCCCGGGUCUUGUACACACCGCCCGUCAAGUCAUGAAAGUCGGUAACACCUGAAGCCGGUGGCCCA